RNAcentral lists this transfer RNA (74 nucleotides) under Corynebacterium sp. 13CS0277. It matches the Rfam family "tRNA". Rfam says of the family: Transfer RNA (tRNA) molecules are approximately 80 nucleotides in length. The record is from Rfam by way of RNAcentral. Lineage: Bacteria; Bacillati; Actinomycetota; Actinomycetes; Mycobacteriales; Corynebacteriaceae.
CGGGAUAUGGCGCAGCUUGGUAGCGCACCUGCUUUGGGAGCAGGGGGUCGCAGGUUCAAAUCCUGUUAUCCCGA